Molecule: ribosomal RNA, 293 nt
Filed under: uncultured bacterium
Lineage: Bacteria
Description: partial 16S ribosomal RNA
Rfam family: Archaeal small subunit ribosomal RNA
Source: RNAcentral
GUGCCAGCCGCCGCGGUAAUACCGGCAGCCCGAGUGAUGGCCGCUCUUAUUGGGCCUAAAGCGUCCGUAGCCUGCCGUACAGGUCCGUCGGGAAAUCCACCCGCUUAACGGGCGGACGGCCGGCGGAAACCAUACGGCUUGGGACCAGAGGACCCGAGGGGUACGUCGGGGGUAGGAGUGAAAUCCCGAGAUCCUCGACGGACCGCCGGUGGCGAAAGCGCCUCGGGAAGACGGACCCGACAGUGAGGGACGAAAGCUGGGAUCUCGAACCGGAUUAGAUACCCUAGUAGUCC